Molecule: long non-coding RNA, 286 nt
Filed under: Zea mays
Lineage: Eukaryota; Viridiplantae; Streptophyta; Magnoliopsida; Poales; Poaceae
Description: long non-coding RNA (ZMAY_LNC001469)
Source: RNAcentral
ACGCUGAACGGAAGGUUACCGACGAAGACCCUGAGAUCAUCUGAAAACUCGUCCCCGCCCGAACGCCCCUCCGCCUCGAGCUCCUCCGUCACGGCCGCGGUCGCGGCCGCUCGCACGGGCUCGAGCGGCCUAAAGCCCACCGCCGCGGCGGACAGCGCGUGGAGCUGCGGCAGCCCCGAUGGGAAGGCGGCGGCGGACGGGGCGGCGGCGGCGGGCUUAGCGGAGAGGGAGAGGAACUGGGGCAAGAGGGAGGUGGAGAAUAGCGUGGCCGCCAUGGGAAGGGCAG